AUUGUACUCUCUCCGUCCCACAUUAAGUGACUCAAAUUUGUCAAAAUGUGGAUGUAUCUAUGUUUAAAAAGCGUCUAGAUACAUGUAAUAGAAAGUCACUUAAUAUGGGACGGAGGGAAUAGAAG
Non-coding RNA from Brachypodium distachyon (stiff brome), 125 nucleotides. The record is from Rfam. NCBI's taxonomy places the organism in Eukaryota, Viridiplantae, Streptophyta, Magnoliopsida, Poales, Poaceae.